CCUACGGGUGAGCUGCAGUGAGGAAUAUUGGUCAAUGGGCGAGAGCCUGAACCAGCCAAGUCGCGUGAAGGAUGACGGCCCUACGGGUUGUAAACUUCUUUUGUCAGGGAGCAAUUGAGUCCACGUGUGGGCUUAGCGAGAGUACCUGCAGAAAAAGCGUCGGCUAACUCCGUGCAAGCAGCCGCGGUACUACGGGGGCGGCGAGCGUUAUCCGGGUUUAUUGGGUUUCAAGGGUGUGUAGGCGGAAUAUCAAGUCAGCGGUAAACAUUCGGGGCGCAACCCCGUCGUGCCGUUGAAACUGAUGUUCUUGAGUGGGCGAGAAGUAUGCGGAAUGCGUGGUGUAGCGGUGAAAUGCAUAGAGAUCACGCAGAACUCCGAUUGCGAAGGCAGCAUACUGGCGCGCAACUGACGCUGAAGCACGAAAGCGUGGGUAGCGAACAGGAUUAGAUACCCUAGUAGUC
Molecule: ribosomal RNA, 461 nt
Filed under: uncultured bacterium
Lineage: Bacteria
Description: partial 16S ribosomal RNA
Rfam family: Bacterial small subunit ribosomal RNA
Source: RNAcentral